This 362-nucleotide ribosomal RNA is filed under the name uncultured bacterium. Its description in RNAcentral is "partial 16S ribosomal RNA". It matches the Rfam family "Bacterial small subunit ribosomal RNA", at positions 338 to 697 of the family's 1533-position model. The record is from RNAcentral.
CCUACGGGAGGCAGCAGUGAGGAAUAUUGGUCAAUGGACGCAAGUCUGAACCAGCCAUGCCGCGUGAAGGAAGACGGCUCUAUGAGUUGUAAACUGCUUUUGUACGAGGGUAAACGCAGAUACGCGUAUCUGUCUGAAAGUAUCGUACGAAUAAGGAUAGGCGAACUCCGUGCCAGCAGCCGCGGGAAUACGGAGGAUUCAAGCGGUAACCGGAUUUAUUGGGCUUAAAGGGUGCGUAGGCGGUCGGGUAAGUUAGAGGUGAAAGCCCGGGGCUCAACUUCGGAAUUGCCUCUGAUACUGGUCGGCUAGAGAGUAGUUGCGGUAGGCGGAAUGGAUGGUGUAGCGGUGAAAUGCUUAGAGAU